This 480-nucleotide ribosomal RNA is filed under the name uncultured bacterium. RNAcentral's name for it is "bacterial SSU rRNA". It matches the Rfam family "Bacterial small subunit ribosomal RNA", at positions 33 to 507 of the family's 1533-position model. The record is from RNAcentral.
ACGCUGGCGGCGCGCCUAAUACAUGCAAGUCGAGCGAGAAGGUGUAGCAAUACACUUGUAAAGCGGCGAACGGGUGAGGAAUACAUGGGUAAUCUACCAUCGAGUGGGGAAUAACCAACCGAAAGGUUGGCUAAUACCGCGUACGCCUCCGAGUCUUCGGGUUCGGAGGGAAAGCUGCACUGUGAGUGUAGCGCUCUUUGAUGAGCUCAUGUCCUAUCAGCUUGUUGGUAGGGUAACGGCCUACCAAGGCUUUGACGGGUAGCUGGUCUGAGAGGACGAUCAGCCACACUGGCACUGCGACACGGGCCAGACUCCUACGGGAGGCAGCAGUAAGGAAUAUUGCGCAAUGGGCGAAAGCCUGACGCAGCGACGCCGCGUGGGGGAUGAAGGUCUUCGGAUUGUAAACCCCUUUCGGGAGGGAAGAUGGAACGAGCAAUCGUUCGGACGGUACCUCCAGAAGCAGCCACGGCCAACUUCGUG